This 492-nucleotide ribosomal RNA is filed under the name uncultured bacterium. RNAcentral describes it as "partial 16S ribosomal RNA". It matches the Rfam family "Bacterial small subunit ribosomal RNA", at positions 30 to 507 of the family's 1533-position model. The record is from RNAcentral.
CGACCGCUGGCGGCGUGCUUAACACAUGCAAGUCGAACGGUGAAGCGCCUUCCUUUUUGGUGGGUGUGGAUGCGUGGCGAACGGGUGGGUAACACGUGAGUAACCUGCCCCCUUCUUCUGGAUAACCGCAUGAAAGUGUGGCUAAUGCGGGAUAUUCUGGGUCUGUCGCAUGAUGGGUCUGGGAAAGAUAUUGUUUCGGUGGGGGAUGGGCUCGCGGCCUAUCAGCUUGUUGGUGGGGUGAUGGCCUACCAAGGCGGUGACGGGUAGCCGGCCUGAGAGGGUGGACGGUCACACUGGGACUGAGACACGGACAAGACUCCUACGGGAGGCAGCAGUGGGGAAUAUUGCACAAUGGGCGCAAGACUGAUGCAGCGACGCCGCGUGAGGGAUGGAGGCCUGCGGGUUGUGAACCUCUUUCGCCAGUGAAGCAGGCCUGCCUCGUUUGUGGGUGGGUUGACGGUAGCUGGAUAAGAAGCGCCGGCUAACUACGUG